AGCUUGCUUUUCUUGAUUAGUGGCGCACGGGUGAGUAAUGCAUAGAUAAUGUGCCCCUUAGUUCGGGAUAGCCACUGGAAACGGUGAUUAAUACCGGAUACUCCUUCUUGUUAUAAGACAAGUCGGGAAAGUUUUUCGCUAAGGGAUCAGUCUAUGUUCCAUCAGCUUGUUGGUGAGGUAAUGGCUCACCAAGGCUAUGACGGAUAUCUGGUUUGAGAGGAUGAUCAGACACACUGGAACUGAGACACGGUCCAGACUCCUACGGGAGGCAGCAGUGAGGAAUAUUGCACAAUGGAGGAAACUCUGAUGCAGCAACGCCGCGUGGAGGAUGACGCAUUUCGGUGUGUAAACUCCUUUUAUUAGGGAAGAUAAUGACGGUACCUAAUGAAUAAGCACCGGCUAACUCCGUGCCAGCAGCCGCGGUAAUACGGAGGGUGCAAGCGUUACUCGGAAUCACUGGGCGUAAAGGGUGCGUAGGCUGGCUUUUAAGUCAGAUGUGAAAUCCAAUGGCUCAACCAUUGAACUGCAUUUGAAACUGAAAGCCUAGAGUUCAGAAGGGGCAGAUGGAAUUAGUGGUGUAGGGGUAAAAUCCGUAGAUAUCACUAGGAAUAUCAAAAGCGAAGGCGAUCUGCUGGGAUGAUACUGACG
RNAcentral lists this ribosomal RNA (648 nucleotides) under uncultured bacterium. RNAcentral's name for it is "bacterial SSU rRNA". It matches the Rfam family "Bacterial small subunit ribosomal RNA", at positions 77 to 745 of the family's 1533-position model. The record is from RNAcentral.